AGCCUGCCCACUGAGGAUUUAAAUGGCCGCGGUAUUUUGACCGUGCAAAGGUAGCAUAAUAAUUAGUUUUUUAAUUGAAAGCUGGAAUGAAAGGUUGGAUGAGAAAAUAACUGUCUCUAUUUAGAUUAAUUAGAAUUUUAUUUUUAAGUAAAAAAGCUUAAAUAAAAAUAGAAGACGAGAAGACCCUAUAGAGUUUUAAUUUAGUUGGGGUGAUUGAAAAAUUUAAUAAACUUUUUUUUUGUAAAACCAUUGAUUUAUGAAUAAUUGAUCCUUUAUUAAAGAUUAAAAGAAAAAAUUACCUUAGGGAUAACAGCGUAAUUUUUUUAGAGAGUUCAAAUCGAAAAAAAAGAUUGCGACCUCGAUGUUGGAUUAAAAUUAAGUCUUGGUGUAGAAGCUAA
Molecule: ribosomal RNA, 398 nt
Filed under: Rhyncogonus gracilis
Lineage: Eukaryota; Metazoa; Arthropoda; Insecta; Coleoptera; Curculionidae
Description: partial 16S ribosomal RNA
Rfam family: Bacterial large subunit ribosomal RNA
Source: RNAcentral